CUUGAAUCUCCUAAGAGGUCUAGCCUGCCCAGUGACUUGUUCAACGGCCGCGGUAUUCUAACCGUGCGAAGGUAGCGUAAUCACUUGUUUUCCAAAUAAAGACCAGUAUGAAAGGCAUCACGAGGAUUAAGCUGUCUCCUCUUUCUAAUCAGUGAACCUAAUCUCCCCGUGAAGAAGCCGGGAUUCAUGUAUAAGACGAGAAGACCCUGUGGAGCUUAAAACACUAAACAUGUGCCUCAUUUCCCAAUACCCCGGUAUUUCACCUAUCGCAUUCUGAUUAUAUGUUUUUGGUUGGGGUGACCGCGGAGAAAAUCCAUCCUCCGCAAUGAAAGAGACCUCCUCUAAGCAAUAAGUUACAACUUUAAGCAUCAAAAUUGGCAUAAAUGACCCAUAAUUUGAUCAAUGAAC
This 408-nucleotide ribosomal RNA is filed under the name Pristimantis sp. 4 Serra do Divisor ABGD cluster 178. RNAcentral's name for it is "partial large subunit ribosomal RNA". It matches the Rfam family "Bacterial large subunit ribosomal RNA", at positions 1822 to 2457 of the family's 2925-position model. The record is from RNAcentral. Lineage: Eukaryota; Metazoa; Chordata; Amphibia; Anura; Strabomantidae.